ACUCAACUCAACGAGCUCGGAUGCCUAGUUACAUCUCUCGAACUCGGACUCAACUCAACAGUUCGGACAUUCGCAUCCAUAAGUGAACUCGGACUCAACUCAACGAGUUCGGAUGCCCAAAUAUCCUAGUGACAUGUCACUUGUAUCCUAAUCCAUUCCUAAGGUUCAACGGGACCUUUUUCCCAAUCAUGUGUCUCAACCAUCUUCUGCGGAAUGCCGAUACCGAUACUCGGUAGUAUUUCACAUUUUCCAAGUAUAUCACACAAUAUGACAUAUUAUCAAACAAUUAUCAUGAGUAUAAUAUUUCAUAAUAAUUAUCAUAUCAUUUAAAUAACAUAAAAACAUUUAAAAUAAUAACUAUGUUACCAACAUUUACAUAUGAACUUACCUCGUAUGCGAAAAUGGCUACUUUUACCAUUUCGUCCACAACUUGGUAUUUUUCCAUUUUAGCCAGAAUUUCAGUUUUCCUUGCUCUAUCAUUUAAAAUAUAGUCUAAUUAGGACUCACAUUAUUCAAAUUGACCCAAAAUCAUAUUUUGGAAAAAUUACAGUUUUGCCCCUAAACUUUUUCAUAUUUACACUUUUGCCCCAAAGCUCGUAAAUUAAACUUCAGCCUAUUUUCUUAUAUUUUAUGACAUGCUGAUCAUUUUUCCCUUCUAUGGAAACAUCAAAUUCUCACUCUAACAUGUACUUAUGACUAUUAGGUAUUUUUACCGAUUAAGCCCUUUUGCUCGUUUUCACUUAAAACCGAGUAGCACAAGUUGUCUAACAUAAUUUAAAACCUCAUAUUCUAUCAUAAAACACCAAAAUACACAAAUUUCACCUAUGGGUAUUUUUCCAAAUAUAAAACCUAGGUUAAAUUAUUGCUAGAAUAAGCUAAAUUAAGUUACCGGGAUUCUAAAAAUGUAAAAAUCAUUAAAAACGAGGCUAGAACGGACUUACAAUCGAGCUUGGAAGCUUGAAAAACCCUAGCCAUGGUUUCUCCUUGCUAUAUUCGGCCAUGGGGUUGAAGAUGAGCAAAAUUGGCUUUUAAUUUUGUAUUUUAAUUCAUUUUACCCCUAAAUGACCAAAAUGCCCUUACUACUAAACUUUCCAAAAAUUCCAUCCAUGUCCAAUUUUUGUCCAUAGACUUAUAAAUUGGUAAAAUUUCUAUUUAAGACCUCCUAAUUAAUAUUUCAAAACAAUUUCAUACUAGAAACUUCUAGAAUGCAAGUUUUGCAAAUUAUUCGAUUUUGUCCCUAAUUUCAAUUUAAGCACUUUAUGCAUAAAAUUUCUUCACGAAAUUUUCACACAAUCAUGAAAUCAUAUCAUAGACCUUAAAAUAAUCAUAAAAUAAUUAUUUCUAUCUCGGGUUUUAUGGUCACGAAACCACUAUUCUGACUAGGCCCAAAAUCAGGAUAUUACACUCCACCCGUACCAGCCUUACACUCCAUGUGGGGAAUAGCUUAACCCACCCAGCCCAACACUCCACAGUUGCAGCCUUGCUGCUCAGUUAACAGUAAAUUGAGGCAAAGCCUCCAGUACGUGGACAAGCCACUUUCAGUACUUCAUCCGUCAAUAUCUCAAUCCCAUGCAUCAGAUAAUAACAACAUGGCAUGCAGUAAACAACAACAGUCAAACAUGCAUUUAGGUCAAUUUAACCCUAGGGGUAUUCGGUAAUUUAUCUAUUAGGGGUAAAACUGUAAAUUUUCCACUUUUAAAGGUAUUUCAGUAAUUUAUCUAUUUUAGGGUUUUUCAUGCAUAUUCCUACUUUUCACGUACUAACAGAAUCACGUACCGAGAGUUCUUACCGAAUUGGGCCCGUUGGCCCAUCAUUCCAAUUUUGGCCCAUUAAGCCCAAAAAUAUCGACGGCAAAACUUUAGGCUAUGAUGAACAAAGAUGGACAAAACUUUGUUCUUUUCACCCCUUUUUUUUAAUAAAAUUUCAUAUUUCAUCCGUUUAAUUCUUUAAUACAAAAGACAUGAAAUUUCCAUCAUGGAACAUUUACCUAACCCAUUAUCAUGGAACAUUUACCCAACCCAUUAUCAUGGAACAUUUACCUAACCCAUUAUCAAUUUGUAUCAAUUUGUACCAUAAAUUAUGGAUAUCAAGUGCACAUUUUGUCUACAACAACAUGAUGACCAGCCACUACAUGUAAAAUGGGAGGUUUGUCAUGGAAAUCCUCCUAUUUUGCACUCCUAUUUAUUUGGCCACUUCAAUUUAGCCUAUAGCAUUUUCAAACAUUUUCACAUAGGUCCUAUUUCAUAAUUUCACCCCCUCUUUCUUAUGGAACAAAAAUUAACUAAAAUUGCUGGGUUCUAUCUUAAGCUUGGGCUUUCUAGAGGCCCACUAACAUAAUUAAAACUAUGCCAACAUUCACAGAAUUCCCGAAAAUUGGGGCGUUACAACUCUACCCUCCUUAAAGAAAUUUCGUCUUCGAAAUUUACCUGAUCCAACUAGUUGAGGGUAUUGUUGACGCAUAGUCUCUUCUGAUUCCCAAGUAGCUUCUUCCCUUCCAUGAUUACGCCAAAGUACUUUCACUAACGGGACAGAUUUCCUUCUGAGAACCUUAACAUCUCGAGCCAAUAUUUGCACAGGCUCCUCCUCAAAGGUCAAAUCAGUCUGAACUUCAAUUUCUGCAACUGGCAGGACAUGAGCAGGGUCAGCACGAUAACGCCUUAACAUGGAGACGUGAAAAACAUCGUGAAUCCUGUCUAACUCUGGAGGCAAUUCCAAUUGAUAAGCCAUUGGGCCUACUCGCUUUAAAACCCGAUAAGGCCCAAUAAACCGCAGACUCAACUUGCCCUUCUUACCGAACCUUAAUAUCUUCUUCCAAGGAGAAACCUUUAAGAAGACCAUAUCACCUAUUGAGUACUCAAUCUCCUUAUGCUUCAAAUUUGCAUGCAACUUCUGCCUAUUAGAUGCUUCUUUUAACCGGUCCCUAAUUAUUCUGACCUUAUCCUCAGUAUCAGCUACCAACUCUGGUCCAAGAAAUUGUCGCUCUCCUAGUUCGGUCCAACAACUAGGUGUAUGACACCUUCGUCUAUACAGUGCUUCAUACGGUGCCAUUCGAAUACUAACCUGGUAACUGUUAUUGUAUGCAAAUUCUGGCAACGGCAAGUAAUCCUCCCAACUACCUCGAAAGUCAAUCACGCAUCCCCUCAACAUGUCCUCUAGAAUCUGAAUAACCCUUUUCGAUUGACCAUCAGUCUGGGGAUGGAAAGCCGUACUAAAAUUCAAUCGCGUCCCCAACGCCUCAUGCAACCUUUGCCAAAAUCGAGAUGUAAAUCUGGGAUCCCGAUUAGAAAUAAUUGAAACUAGGACUCCAUGAAGUCGUACAAUCUUCGUCACAUACAGCUUGGCUAACUUUUGAAGUGAAAAUUCAGUACGAACAGGUAUGAAAUGGGCCGAUUUGGUCAACCUAUCCACAAUCACCCACACCGAUUCUUUCUUUGAUGGUGUCAAGGGCAGCCCACUCACAAAGUCCAUGGUUACCCUCUCCCACUUCCAAAGUGGUAUCUUCACUGACUGUAACAGUCCAGAGGGUAAUUGAUGCUCAGCUUUCACUUGCUGGCAUGUCAGACAUUUACCUACAAACUCCGUUACUUCUGGUUUAAGUCCAGGCCACCAGUACAAUUCUUGCAAGUCGUGAUACAACUUAUUCCCUCCAGAAUGCAUGGCACAUAGUCCCCCAUGAGCUUCCUUCAAUAUUGUCUGCCUUAAAUCAGAGUCCCUCGGAACACAAAUUCUUCCUCGGAAACAUAGAACUCCAUCACCAUUUAAACCAAACUUAGAAGUUUCCCCUUCCUUAACUUGUUGAAAAUGAACAACCAAAGACUCAUCUUCCAACUGCUUUUCCUUAAUCUGGUCUACCCAGGUUGGCCUUACUUGCAAUUCAGCCAACAAACUGCCAUCAUCAUACAGACUCAAAUGAGCAAACAUUGCUCUCAGAUCAGAUACGGUUCUACGACUUAAAGCAUCGGCUACCACAUUAGCCUUGCCUGGGUGAUACUCGAUCGAACAGCCAUAAUCCUUAAGCAACUCAAUCCAUCUCCUUUGCCUAAGGUUCAGCUCCUUCUGAGUCAACAAAUACUUAAGACUCUUGUGGUCUAUGUAUAUAAUACACCUUUCUCCGUGCAAGUAAUGUCUCCAAAUCUUAAGUGCAAAUAUCACUGCUGCCAACUCUAAAUCAUGAGUCGGAUAGUUCCCCUCAUGAGGCUUAAGCUGUCGUGAUGCAUAUGCAACCACCUUACCCUCUUGCAUUAACACGCAGCCCAAACCCACGUGUGAUGCGUCACUGUACACACUAAAAUCCUUCCCAGACUCCAGCUGAAUUAACACAGGUGCUUCAGUCAGAACUUUCUUCAACUUCUCAAAAGCUUCCUGCUGCUUCUCAGUCUAUACAAACGGUACUCCUUUCCUUAUGAGUUUUGUCAGAGGUGCUGCCAUCACAGAAAAACCUUCCACAAACCUUCUGUAGUAUCCUGCCAACCCUAGGAAACUUCGAAUUUCCGACACCGUCUUAGGUGGCUUCCACUCCAAAAUUGCUUCAAUCUUUCAAGGGUCCACCUUAAUCCCUUCGGCAGAGACCACAUGUCCUAAGAAGGUUACCUCCCUCAACCAAAAUUCACACUUGCUGAACUUCGCAAAGAGUUUCUUUUCCCUUAACACUCGCAGCACUAUACAGAGAUGCUCAUCAUGUUUCACUUUAGUUUCAGAAUAUACCAGGAUAUCAUCAAUAAAAACGACAACGAACUGAUCUAAAAAUGGUUGGAACACACGAUUCAUCAAAUCCAUAAACACUGCAGGAGCGUUCGUCAGUCCAAAUGGUAUAACCAGAAAUUCGUAAUGAUCAUACCGAGUCUUGAAUGCAGUCUUAUGGAUAUCUGCCUCCUUGACCCUUAACUGAUGAUAUCCAGAUCGAAGGUCGAUCUUGGAAAAUACAGAAGCCCCUCUAAGCUGGUCAAACAGGUCGUCAAUCCUUGGCAGUGGAUACUUAUUCUUAAUUGUCAGUUUGUUCAACUGGCGAUAAUCAAUGCACAUCCGCAUUGUACCAUCCUUCUUCUUCACGAAUAGCACCGGUGCUCCCCAUGGAGACACGCUUGGCCUAAUGAAGCCCCUAUCCAACAACUCUUGAAUUUGUGCCUUUAGCUCCACCAACUCUUUCGGUGCCAUUCUAUACGGUGUGAUAGACACUGGUGCCAUUCCAGGCAAUAAGUCGAUUCCAAACUCCACUUCUCGGUUCGGAGGCAAUCUUAGAAGCUCCUCCGGAAAAACAUCUUGGAACCCCUUUACAGUCCUAACCUUAUCCACUGACAAUCCUUCCCCUUCCGACUGACUUACAAAUGCCAAAUAGGCCUCACAACCUUUCCAAAUCCACUUCUCGGCUCUUAAUGCCGACACCACAUUGGAAAAAUAAUCCCUUUGCUCACCUAUCACCAUAACCUCCUCAUCCUUUGUGGUCCUUAACACCAUUAGUUUAGCAGCACAAUCCAGAGUCUCCCUAUACUUAACAAGCCAGUCCAUUCCCAGAAUGAGGUCAAACUCUCCGAACGGUAACUCUAUCAGAUCUCCAGGGAAAACCUUGCCUUGAGUUUCUAAGGGUACAUCCCUAUAUAGUUUGUCUACCCUAAUCGAGUGACCCAAAGGACUUAGUACCGAUACCCCACUCACAAUCUCCUCAGAGCAGUCCAAGUUGUCCAUAAUCCGUUCUGUGGCCUCCAACCAAUAUUCCGCCACAUUCGGGGCUAUACCAGAUACACCCCUAAAGAGCUCCGCUCCGUUAGCCCGAAGUCGUUUAAAAAUAUAUCUCCGAACUCUAUUGCCCAUACUUGUCCCGGCAACCCUUUCCAGAACACGAAGCAUUGCCUGUGACAGGGCAUCAUCCUCAGCACCGCGGUCAUGAGACUCUACCUCUAUUGCCGGUGGUACCGGUGCAUCCACCUACGGCAUAUGUCUCGAAGACGAAGAUCUCGCUCGAGCACUUCCUCGGCUCCGUCCACGGCCUCUUGUACUCAUAUCGUAUUAUCUUGAUUACGAAUUUUUAUGCAUCAAUUAAUAUUCCAGUGUUUAUUACAGAUGUUUUAUGAAUCAGACAGUAGUUCAGAGUUUGUUUUCGCAGAAUCGAAGUCUAGCUACAGUUUCAGUCUCUUAUCAGAUUUUCCUAUGGUUUCAGUAUUAUCCUAUCUAGAGUAUCCUAAUAGGGUUUCAGUACAGACAGAUAAUUCAGGAAAAUAUUCAGAAAAGUUCAGAGUAAUACUUACAAACUUGAGCCAGAGAUUCGGAAUGCCACCUUCUAAAGAUCUAAAUUUUGAAAAUCGAGUUUUUCGCAUUCUUUAUAAAAUUUUUUGUUUUUGAAAAUCUUUAUUUUUGUAAACCCAUUCCACAGCUGAGUUGCUGCAACCUAAGCUCUGAUACCACUAAAUGUAACACCCCAAACCCGGCCCAGACGUUACGGCCGGAUCCGACAUGCCACAUCGAAGCGUUCAAAAUAUUUUUUAUUGUUGAUCCAGAAAAACCUACUUAGUGUUUUAAAAGAUAAUUUCAUUAUAGGUUAAAGUGAAUGGAAGCUGUGCACCAGGUAGGAAACCAGAAAAGAUGAGGUGAGUCUAUCGGGCUACUUAAGUACCAAGCUCCCUUCGGAUCCAAUCCUAGACAUGCACACCGUCAUUGCCACACCUUAACAUCAUGUAUAUUUCUAGGAAACCGAUUUGAUUAAGUCAUUUUUAGGAAAAGUGAUUAAUUUUGGAAAAUACUUUCAUUGCAGAAGCUUUGCUUGUUGUCGUGUUAUUUUGAAAUCAAAUUUUUUUUUGAAAACGCGCCCUAAAGCUAUCCAAUUUCAACUGUUAAAAUAAGUAAUACCUAUCUUAGUAAUACAUAUUAAAACCAUCAAAAAUAAUUAAGCGGCCUUAUUACAUUUAAAAACCCAAAACUUCAAACGUAAAUAAAAGGAUGUCCAGUUCACCAGAAGAAAUUCAAACUUUCAGAACGGGUGGCCACUCCGAAUUCCCUCACAGCUCCAAGCCCACUAUGGUUGGGGAUUACCUGCGUGGAUGAAAAUAAAAAGGGUGAGUUUGGGGAAACUCAGUGUGUAAGGAAAACUCAUUCAAAGCCCAAGUCAGCUCAAGCCUAUUGGGCCUAAGCCCAUUUGGGUAACAGUGGUACCAGACCAGAGCCCUUUUCAUAUUACAAUAAACUGGGCCUUAGCCCCUUAUUCAGAUAACAGUAUGGCCCAUAGGCCCAUUUCAAAAUACAUGCAACAUCAAUAACAUAUGCAAGCCCAUUUGGGUAGACUACUCAACCCACCAACCACUACACUCCACCCGUACCAGCCCUACACUCCGUGUGGGGAAUAGCUCAACCCACCCAGCCCAACACUCCACAGUUGCAGCCUUGCUGCUCAGUUAACAGUAAAUUGAGGCAAAGCCUCCAGUACGUGGACAAGCCACUUUCAGUACUUCCUCUGUCAAUAUCCCAAUCCCAUGCAUCAGAUAAUAACAACAUGGCAUGCAGUAAAUAACAACAGUCAAACAUGCAUUUAGGUCAAUUUAACCCUAGGGGUAUUUCGAUAAUUUAUCUACUAGGGGUAAAACUAUAAAUUUUCCACUUUUAAAGGUAUUUCAGUAAUUUAUCUAUUUAGGGUUUUUCAUGCAUAUUCCUACUUUUCACGUACUAACAGAAUCACGUAUCGAGAGUUCUUAUUUAAUUGGGCCCGUUGGCCCAUCAUUCCAAUUUUGGCCCAUUAAGCCCAAAAAUAUCGAGGGCACAGAAAUCAUGCACUUUGCAGUCCAAAUUUUGCAGCUUACUAAAAACAUUAAUCGAUUUACCUCACGAGCAUUCGCACACUCGUAAAUCUACAAAGUACCGGUUUUCGGCAUUUUGGCUUUUCGACUUUUGCCGAUCCAGACUAAGAAAGAGGGUGUCAGUUACACACCUGUUUGCGACGAUAUGCUGACGAGAUCCACACACGAACCGCUUACAAUUGGAUUACUAACACGUUAAUCUAUCUAUUCAAAUACAAUAUACGUAUUAACCCCUUACAAUAUUCGGCCAACCACACCUACAGAUCAUAGUAAGCUUAUAAGAAAUCAAUAAGCAACUCAUUAACAAAUUUUUGUCAAUGUUUACCACAUAAUCAUAAUUUCACUGCAAGCUGUCUUCCUGAGCAACAGUCACUAAAUCAUUUAUAACUGGAGCUACGAAACUCCAAAUCAAGUGCCAUUAAUUUUCCCUGAAAAUAGACUCAUAUAUCUUAUAUCCAUAAAAUUUUCAGAAUUUUUGGUUUUUCCAAUCAAUACCAGAUUUUUCUCAAAAUGUCGCAUGUUUCACUGUUUGACUAAUCUGACCACUCUUCAUUACGAAUCAAAAUUCUCAUUGUACAGAAUUCAAAAUAUGUUAUCGUUUAUUUCAUUUGAAACUAGACUCAACAAGAUUUAAUUACAUAAUUUAUUCAGCUUCUAAUUCAUCUCCCAUAAUUUAUGGUGAUUUUCCAAAGUCACAUUACUGCUGCUGUCCCAAGCAGAUUUAUUACCAAAUUCACUCUUUCACACAUAACUUGCAUGCAUGUUAUUUAAACAUGUAUAUCACCAAUCAAUCAUCACAUAUCUAUGAUUUUACUUAAGUAUAAUCUCCAUUUCAUCAUUUUAAAGCACAACAUGUUAGCCGAUUUUCCCCUUAGCAUCUAAGGCACAUGCAUGCUCAUUUGUUUGGCUCAACUUCACCUAUCUUCCAUUUUUCAUCAAAAGAACAUGAAACAACAACCAUUUCCUUCAUUUUAAUUCAUGACUAAAUGCUCACAACACAACUAAAAACCAAAAUAUGCUUCAAGAGUUAAGGUAGAAUCAAGAAGAACUCAUGAACCUCAAAAUAAAAGCAAACUACCAUGAACUUACCUUCAAUUUUUCUUCCCCAAGUGACCGAACAUUCAAGAGCUUUCUCCUCUCCUUUCUCUUCUCUAACUUUAGGCUAUGAGGAACAAAGAUGGACAAAACUUUGUUCUUUUCACCCCUUUUUUUUAAUAAAAUUUCAUAUUUCAUCAUUUAAUUCUUUAAUACAAAAGACAUGAAAUUCCCAUCAUGGAACAUUUACCUAACCCAUUAUCAUGGAACAUUUACCUAACCCAUUAUCAUGAAACAUUUACCUAACCCAUUAUCAUGGAACAUUUAUCUAACCCAUUAUCAAUUUGUAUCAAUUUGUACCAUAAAUUAUGGAUAUCAAGUGCACAUUUUGUCUACAACAACAUUAUGACCAGCCACUACAUGUAAAAUGGGAGGUUUGUCAUGCAAAUCCUCCUAUUUUGCACUCCUAUUUAUUUGGCCACUUCAAUUUAGCCUAUAGCAUUUUCAAACAUUUUCACAUAGGUCCUAUUUCAUAAUUUCACCCCCUUUUCUUAUGGAACAAAAAUUAACUAAAAUUGUCGGGUUCUAUCUUAAGCUUGGACCUUCUAGAGGCCCACUAACAUAAUUAAACCUAUGCCAACAUUCACAGAAUUCCCGAAAAUUGGGGCGUUACAGUCAUAGCGUCUUUCAGCCAUGUUCUUAGUCCUAUUUACUGUUCUGGCGUGCUUUCAUAUGAUGUCAUAGCAUCUUUUAGGUAUGGUCUUACUAAUUCUUAUAAUGAUGCCAUAGCAUCUUUCAACUAUGGUCUUACUCAUUUUAAUCAUAAUGUCAUAAUAUCUUUUAGCUAUGGUCUUACUCAUUUUAGGAAUAUAGCCUCUAAUCGGACCCAUAGCCUAGCCAUGAUCUUUCUUACUUACUUCUCCCAUUGCUUUGUAUCCAUUCCUCCAUUUCAUCGUUCCUAACCUUAAUGCUCGAACACGAUCAUGUCCCCUAUGCAAGGCUUGGAGCUUCGCUCAUCACGAGUACACACCAACACUGUAUGGCGAUAUCUAAUGGAAUCACCCAUUAUUCUCAUUCCUAACUUUGACUAAUCCCGAUGAAGACCUCCUUUUCAUAUUGUAUAUACAAUACAUGCAUGUAUAAAUAAAACAUCAUGGGAUCAUGCAUAAUAAACUUGAAUGGAAAGUACUAAUAUACCAUACGAAAAUCAACAAAGAUCACUUAUCUUUCCAGAAUUGUAGUACAGAAACUCACCUGGUGCUUCAUUGCCUCCCCAUCUUAGCUUUUCUGAACACUAAAGCUUCUGUUUUCCUAAUAGCAGCUUACUGGAUUCUCUAUUUUCCCACUCGAACCUCUUGAUCAUUGCCCCAUGCAGAACUUCCCUAGCUUUUUCUCCUUCGAAGUAACCAAAAAAGAAGAUAAAGAAGAGGAGAGAAUGAAACAGAACUAGGAAAAAUCCCUCUAAGGAUUCAUUUUCUUAGCUAUUUAUAAUCAAUCAUGCAUGGUCUCCCACCAUAUAACAACCAUUCAUUCGCAAUCAUUUUGUCCCCCACUUAAAGAUCGAUUGGUUCAAAUUCAAUUGAAAUGUGAAUUGAAUUUUAACCUUUUCCAUUUGUUUCUAACUUUACCUGAUUUCCAAAUACAGGCCGCUAUCUUAUGAUUUCUUUCAAUUUAACCCUUAAAUUAUCUUUGGUUUCCAGGUUUAAAGGAUUUUGGGUGUGACAAAAUGAAUUAUCUAUGUAUUACUUCAAGGACAAGCUAGUUGAUCAUACCAUACCAAUACCAUUAAUGUUCAUAUUCCUAUUCAAUUUAACAAAUUCAAUCUAAUCCGCAUUUUAAUUUUGAACCGAAUCAAUUAUUCUGUAUUUUACCAUAUCGACUCUUAAGCUCGUUAAACGGUUUACAUGAUCUUUCACAUGCUAUCAAUAAUCAAAUAUCAUAUAUAAAUGCUUGUAAUUCAACUUUAUAAUAUUUAAUCAUUUUUCAAAUAUCAAUCAACCAAUAUAUCGAAGGAAAAUGUGCCCAGCGCUCAUUGACAUACAGCCGAAGUAACCUAUGCUCAAUCUAUCCUAUGGCAUGCCAACUAUAUCCAACUCUACCCAAAUAGUUAGUAGGGUAAUCACAUAUCCAAUUUAAUAUAACUCAAUUUACAUUUCAUCAUUUUCAAUUUAAUAACCAAUUCAUCAUUUCAUUACAUAACAUGUUUCAUCCCAAUUCAAAGCUAAUUUCAUAUUUUCAUCAACUUAAACUAUUUUCUAUUUUUUUCUAUUCAAUUUAGUUCUCUAUUUCGAUAACUAAUCUCAAUCAUAACAAUUCAAUUCAAAGAAUCAUUUUUUAACUCACCUCAAUACCAUACUAUGCAAAACAAUAUAAAUAUGCAACAAUUAUAGUGGUUCGAGUCAUAGAAAUACAAACUAAAGACUCAAGUUCCGUCGACUCUCACAUUUCCUUUCCCUCUCAACGACCCUACGUCAUCUUUAGCUACAAAUAAUAAUCCAACAACACACAACAUCAAAUUCUAGAUCAAAUCACAUUCAAUUAAAAAGUCACACAUAUUUUACAAUUUAUUCAAUUGAGUCCCGAAACCCAAGACAAGCAUAACUUUCAAUUUAGACCCUUAGACUAAAAUCUGAUUUCACAUAUAUUCAUUAGGGACAUUAUAUUUUAUAUUCCUACCAAAAUUUUAUAAUAGUUUUAAAUUUUAUUCAAUUUGGUCCCUAAUGCGUGAAACUAACAAUUAAACUUUACAAUUAAGUCCUUUUAUUAAACUAAGCUUAAUUUCUACCAAUUUAACACCUAAAUCAUUCAAUUCUCAACAAUGGCAUCUUAUGAAAACUUCACCAAUUGAUCAAAUUAAUCCUUUGGUUAGCUUAAUCAAACUCCUAAGAUAAAAAAAAAUCUAUAAAAAUCAAAGAAAAAUGGCUAGGGACUUACUUGAAUUAAGGACCAAAAGCUUUAAAAACCUAAAAUGGCAUCAAGCUUCUUCUUCUUUUCUCAUAGCCAAUUGGAGAAAAUGAAUUUUGUCUCUCCAUCCACCAAAUUCUCAUUUUUAUACUUAGAUUAUAACUUAAUUAACUUUAAUAAAUCAUGUUUUAGAUAUCAUUAAUCUUAAUUAAUUUAUUUAAUCAAUAAUCAUUAUUACCGUACACUAGAGAAUAUUUAAUUUCCUUUGGAUAAUUGUAAUUUAUAACCCAAGCCAAUUCCUAAUUAAAAAUCUAUAGCAAUUAGAGUUUUACAAUUUAGUCCCUAGGCCUCAAUUAAACACAAUUUUCACCAAAUUGACUAUCCAAAUUUCAAUUCAUCUAAAUAUUAACUCUGUAAAUAUUCUUAUUUAAUAUUUAUAGUCUAAAUUUAUGGAAACAAGAUCCCAAAACCGUAUUUUUGAUACCAUUGGCAACUUAAUCAUUACAAUGUUAGUCUAACAAUAAUUGUCUUUAUGCAACUAGUGUGUAUUUCGAUCACCUUGACAUGGUAACGAAUGAGAAAGAAGGUUUAAAGAAAAAAAAAUUGGCUGCUAAAAGUGAACUAGGGGUUUCCAAACAACAUCUACACAAGGAGAGUCGCGCAACCCAAGAUAAGUUAGAUUUUUAUAUCAAUAGCAAGGAUAAUAAACUAGAAUUGCUGGAGGGGAAGAAGAGGUCAUUGAUUGAGGAGCUGGGAAAGUGAAGAAAGAGUUGCCUACGAGUAAGCAUAGAAAAAAGAUCUUGUGGAUAAGAUUGUCAACAUUGAAUAGAGCUACCUAUUGGAUCUGGUGUCCUAAAUAUAGUAUUUUCGUCAAUGUACACUUGUAAUUUUUUCGAACAGUUUGGUUAAUAAAAUUAUUCAUGAAUUACAUUAAUUCUUUGUAUAUCUUCCUCACAUGGUUUUUGCAUGCAAAGCAAAAUGGAAGAAAAUGAUUCUCAAUGGUUGUCUAAUGUUUAAACUAAUACUAAGUUACGUGGUUGGAUCAUAAUAUGAAAAAAUAACUUAUAUUAGUAGACAAACCUAAACAUGUUCUUAGUCUAAUUGAAAAUGGGAAAAUCAAUUGAAAGACUAAUAUGUCGUUUAUCGAGUCCAGUUGCAGAGAUGUUUUGUCUUGGGUAUCGAAGCAGAUAACUCUUAAAAAAUAGAGACAUAGAUGUGACAGACUGGAUUGAUAGUACAUCAAAAUGGACCCUAAAAGAAUAGAUCCUAAAUCUAUUUAUAGAUUUAUUCACUUAUGAUGUUCAUAGUGUGGCAUAUCUAAAUCUUGAGUGGAUGACGGAUUAUGUAUACUUAACUCGUAUACUUUGAUGUAAGUGAAAGCCUGAGUUCAAAUGGAUAAGGAGCUGGAAACUGGUGCGUCGGGUGUACGAAUUUUACAAUAUGUAGUGUCAUUCAAAACAGUGGAAUUCAUAGCUCGAGACAUGGGUAAAUGAUAUCCUCUCAUUGGCAUUACAUGGUGAUGGAAACUAAACAUGACCACAGGUCGCUCGUAUUUGUGAUGGAUGACUUAUGAAAAGGUCAUUGGACAAGCACUAAUCGAGUUGCUUUCAUAAUGAUAUGUCGUUGGUAUACAGACAUAAUUUUGAGACUUACUUACAAUAGAAGAUCUAAUACAAUCCCAAUAAAUUAGGAAUUCCAUCAAUACAAAAACAACAUAAUAACAUACACGACAAAUAUGGACUCUUAGCAGUUCAACAUCAUAAUCACGAUCCAAUCUAAAGUUCAUAACCCAAUGAAUUGCUUUGAGGAAUUUCCAUCCAAAUCAAUUACCAAUAUUCAAAUUCCCUAGCAACAUGAUCUUCUAUAAUGGGCUAGAUUUUUGUUGAUUUUAGUACCCCAAGUGUAAUAUAUUUCUUUUGUAUACUUUUAUUUUUCAAACAAAUUGGUUCAAUAAUAACAUCCAUUAAUUACAUUAACACUCUUUGUAUAUUGUCCUCAAUGUUUUUGCAUGUAAAUCAAAAUGGAAGCAAAUAUUAGCUCACUGGUUAUCUAAUAUUUAACUAAUACUAAGCAGUGUUACGUGGUCAGAUCGUAAUAGAGAAAGACAACUUGUAUUACUAGAUGAACCUAAACAUUUCUUUAGUCUAAUAAAAAUAAGGAAUCUGAUUGAAAGACUAAUGUCGUCUAUCAAGUCCAAUUGGGGAGAUACUUUAUCUUAAGCAUCAGAGCAGGUGACUCAAAAAGAUAGAGACAUAGAUGUGGUUGAUGAGACUAACAGUAUAUUGGACAAGACCCAAGUAGAAUAGAUCCUAGAUCCAUUUAUGAAUUUAUUCACUUGUGACAUUCAUAGUGCGACAUACCUUAAUCCUAAGUGGAUAAUGGACUAUAUAUGCAUGACUCAUGUACUUUGAUGUAAAUAAAAGCUCAAGUUCAAAUAGAUAAUAAACUGAAAGUUGGUGAGUUGGGAAUAUGAAUUCUGCAGUAUGUAUCAUCAUUUUCAAUACUGAAAUCUAUAGUCCAACUAAUAGGUAAAUACAUGAUAGAUGAAAUGUAAAUGUGGCCACGAGUUAUUUGUCUUUGUUAUAAAUGACUUGAUUACUAUGUGAUAGUAAUUGACUUCACAUGAAGGAAGAUGCAAUGGUUACCAUAAGAUAAAAUAGGAUCAUAUUGGGAGAACAAAUUUAUCCCAAAUAGAUUGAGGAUAUCCUAUGAGGGUAACACACUUAUAAGAAGCUCAUUGGAUGAGUACCAAUUGAGUAGUUUUCAUAAUGGUAUAUAAUUAGGGAGAACUUAGUCAAAAUACUAUAGUAGAAUGACUUCAAAAAUAAAUAAUUUUAUAACUAAUAAGUGAAAAGCUAGAACGUAAUUAUAAAUUAUUUGAGCCUUAAAUUAUAUAUAUCCAAUAGGUCCCUCAUCUAGCUUGUUGAAACCAAAAAUUAAUUGCAUGUAGAACCAAAUGAACAUAAAUGAAUGGAAAUGAUGAAGUUAGAGAAAUGGACCACAUUCACAAAUGAAUGUGUUUUGUCACUGAGUAUAAAAAUAACUUGAGAAAUAACUUAAGGUUUUCAAAUUAUUAUUUAACUAGUUAUAAUGAAAUAAUUGAUGUUUAAAAAUGGAAUUAAACUAAUUAGUAAUUAUGAAUUCGUCGGAUAUGGAAAUUAAAAAUAUUUCCUCUUAGAUUCUUUUAGUAAAGUUUCCAUGACUUUAAUGAAAUUAGAAUUGGGUUAAGAAAAUUAUUUAACUAGGAAAUUAAUUUAGUUAAUUUGAUUAAUUAAUUAAUAUUUAUUUUAGAAAAUAUAAAAUAAAUAUUGGGUUGGAUUAAAUUAUAAAGUGUUUGACCAAAAGUCCAAGAAACACAUAUAGUUGGAUCCAAUAUAUGAGACCCAAUAAUACCCCUCAUAAUAUGAAUGGGUGACAACCCUAGUAAUAUUUAGUAGCAUACGCCUCCCACCCCUCUCUUAGUUAGUCUAGGAGAGUGUUGUCUAUUAAAUAAAUAUUAUUUGUGUAGCGACGUAAAAAUUUCGCUUUGGUCGCUAGUUGAGGCGAUUAUUGGAAAUUUUAAAACCGACUUUCGAUUUUAUUAAAAAAAGGGAGUCGCCACCGACCUUUUUUCUAGGUGUGAUUGGACACCUAAAUAAUCAUCUUUUUUAGCAAAGAAAAUUUAUUCUUGAACAGAAAUGAAGGCCGAAUUUGGGUCUUUGUCAAAAUCCAGAGAAAAAGCAGGGUUCGGGAGUCGGUUACGCACGAGGAAGGUAUUAGCACCCUCGCGACGUCCAAAAUUGGUAUCUCGCUAAGCAUGUGUUGUCUUAAUUUUCAAAAAUGCGAGUUCAAUAUAACAUUUAAUCAUGAUCUGAUCAAAACAUGAGAAUUUUUACAAUCUCGAUUUCUUUUGAGAAGGACGUUUCGUUUUUAACACAAGUCGAUUGAUAUUCACCAAACAUAGUGAUGAAAUCGACGACUUAAUGUUAAAUCGGUGCGCUACUUUAUUUAUUGAAAUCAAAAAAUGAAUGAAAAUAUUUUUAAAUAAAAAAUAAAAAGAAAACUAAUAUCGAUGUUGAAAUAAGAUGUGAUCUAAUAGACUAAAUUCGGAACAGGCAAAUAAUAAUAAAAUGUUAAGAAUAUACGAAGCAAAUAUGUAAAACAUUAACAAUGUAUAUGUGAUAUUAAUAAAACAAUAGUAGUGCAUAUGGUAUUAAACAUGAUAAUAAUAGUAAUAAUGUAAACAUGAAAUAGUAGUGAACAUAUAUAUAUAAAACAUAUAAUACUAGAUUAAAAAUAUAUACAAUAUAUAUUGAAAACAAUAAUAAUUAAUAAUAACGAUAUAUAAAUAUAUACAAAUAUGUAUUAAAAUAUAUACGUAAUAAUAAGAAUAAAAAGUGUAUACAUAGUUUUAAAAAUAUGUACAUAAUAUAGCGUUAAAAAUACAUACAUAAUAUAGUUAUUAAAAAAUAUAUACAUAAGAUAAUAUGCAAGAAAAAAAUAUAAAUAAUAUAGUAUUAAAGAUAUAUACAUAAUAUAUAUAUAUAUAAAAAUCAUAUAUACAUGACAUAUAUAUUAGCAACAAUAAUGAUACAAAAAGAAACAACUAUAAUACAAUACAUAAAUACGUACAUAUAUAAAUAAUAAUGGUAUUAGAAAUAUACAAUAUAUAGUAUUAGAAAUAUAUACAUAAAAUAGUAUAAAUAUAUAUAUAACUAAUGAUAUUAAAAUAUAUACAUAAUAAUAUAUAAAAAAUAUAAUAUUAAAAAAAUAUAUGUACAUAACAUAUAAAAAAUAUAUACAUAAUAUAGUAUUAAAAUAUUUACAUAAUAUAUACAUAUUAGAAAUAAAAAACGACUAUUAAUAAUAUUACAUAAAUAUAUACAUAUAUAUAUUAAAGAUAUAUACAUAUAAUAAAACAUAUACUAAUAUUAAUAAUAAUAAUAAGGAUAAUAUAAAAAUAUAUACAUGAAAUAGUAAAAAAAAAAUAUAACUAAUAAUACUAAAAAUAUAUACAUAAUAUAUAUAAAAACAUAUACGAUAUAUAUAUAUUAAAAAUGAUAAUAAUAUAAAAAAAACUAUUAAUACACUACAUAAAUACGUACAUGUAUAUACAUAUAUAAAUAUUAAGUGAAAAAUCAAUACUAGUACUAAUAAUAUUAAUAAUGAAUAUAAUAAUAUAUAUAUAUAUGCAUAUAAUAGUAAAAAAACGAGACAUAUAAAAAAUAACUAAAUAUAACAUAAUAAUAAUAAUAAUAAUACAAAAAUAAUAGUGAUAACAAUAAUAUAUAUAACAUAAAUAAUAUUUAAAGCUAAAUGAAAUAGCAAAAAUAAUAUAAAAUUCAAGAUAAAUAUGAAAAAUAAACGAAAAAAGGACUAAAAUUGGACUAAAAUCGAAGUUUUGGGGCAAAUUUAAAAUAAAAUAUAAAAAGGGGACCCAUUUGAAUGCCCGUACAACUGCGGAGGGCCAAAAAACAAUUUACCCGAGCCCUUAAAACAACGUCGCUGAAGGGAGGACCAAAUCGCAAAAUGCGAUAAAUUUCAGGGCCAAUUUAAAAGAAAUAAAAACUUGAUUGCAAAAUAUAGAAAAAGCGGAAGGACCGCGCGUGCAAUUAAAUCAUUAUACAAAAACACGCGGAUCCUGAGGCGAGUCGGGUCGGACGGAUCGGGUCAUGCUCAAAACGACGUCGUUUGGGGGUUAAAAGGCAGCCCCUAAAACGACAUUGUUUUGGGAGGCUAUAAAAGGCCAAAUUUUUUCAAAAAAAUUCAUUUGUAGCAAAGUGAAGAAAAAAAAGAGAAGGGAGGGGGAGAGGUGCGAUUUCCGGCCACAGGACCGGUCACAGUUCGGUCGCCGAACCGUCGUCAGCCGUCGCCGCCGGCCACCGUACACAGUGGUCGAAAAUGGUAAAAAUUUUUUUUUUUAUUUUUUUUAUUUUUGAAUACAUAUAUUUGUAUAUGUUUAUGAGUAGGAAGAAAAAAAAGAAAUCAAUUCGAAAUAAAAAAAUCACCUUUGUUUCUGAUUUUGAUUUGUUUUCUGAUUCUCUGAUUUUUGUGGUGUUCAAAUCACUGCUUUGGGUUUAAAACUAUGGUUUUUGCAUUCAUGAACUGCCGAAUCCUUUUACAAAGUUUUUAAGCCGGCUUUUAUAGCCUUUUACAAACUAUUUUUCAAUUAUUUUUGUCACUUCCUUUCUUUUCUUGCAGGUGCAACUUGCUGAUGGGACAAGGGCGGUGCUGUAGGCGGUGGAGUAGUUGGCCGACUUUGGCAGAGGCAAGUGGCAGGUGGUUCGGCGCCGAAUGCUAGGGGGCUAGGGUUAGGUUUUUUGAUUUUGGGUUUUUAGGUUUAGUGGGCUUCUGAAUUGGGUCCAAUAUUUGGGUUUUGUAAUGGGUUUUGGGUAGAUUUGGGUUUUAUGCAUGGGUUUAAAACUGGGCCCAGACAAUUUGGGCUUCUACAGCUGCCCCUCUUUGCUCAUUUUCGUGCAACGGGAAUAGAGCAAAGAAUUUCAAGGAAGACCAAAUUUGCCCGGUCUUGCUGAGUCUUGACUUACUUUGGUGCUCCUAUUUUCCAAGUAGUCUCGUUCUAACCCACCACGUCUCAUUAUCAUGGUUCAAUUCACUGCAACUUCAAAGAUAUGCUUUGUAGCUUCAAUCCACUCCAAUGUAACUUUAAGGACAUGAGAUUUACGGCUUUGAUCUACUUCACUGUAACUUUAAGAAUAUAAGACCUACAACUUCAAUCCGCUCUUCUAUCACUUCAGUGGGAUAAGGUUUGUGGUCUUUUCUUCUGCGACUUCAGAAAGGUAAGAUCUGAUAUCCUCGAUCAACUCCAAUCUUUAUCCUCGGCGUGUGACCUGAGGCUCAACUCACCUAUCUCAAUAUGAGUUGACUUUUUUUGAAAAACAUAUAUUAAAAACAAAUUUUGAAAAUACCUCAGCAUAUGGCCCGAGGCUCAACUCACCUUUCGCAAUAUGAGUUGAUUUUUGAAAACAGACAUUAAAAACAAAAAUUGAAAUACCUCGGUGUGUGACCCAAGGCUCAACUCACCUCUUGAAAUAUGAGUUGAUUUUUGAAAAAUAGAAAUUAAAACAGAAUUUGAAAAUACCUCGGCAUGUGACCCGAGGCUCAACUCACCUCUCACAAUAUGAGUUGAUUUUUGGAAUAACUGAAAAUAUCAGAAUACCUAAACAUGUCAUCUGGUGAAACUCAAGUGUCUUUUUCCUUGAUUCAGUACAGCUAUCAUCGAAACGUCUUGCUCUGCUGGAGUACCUAUAUAUGUCAUGCAUGAUGUUAUCAUGAUAUGCACAUGUUUGUCUUAAAUGCCUUUAUGCCUACAUGAUUAUGUUAUGCGUCUUGGGCUUGUCUGUCACAUAUUCCUUUUCGUUAUGAUUCUUGUGAUGAUCUACGUUUAUUGCUUUAAUUCUUGACUUUCUCUUCAGGCUUUGUACCCAACUUCAAGUUUUACGAGCAACCUGCAUUUCUAAAAUAUCACUCUCUUGCCCCUGGUUGAACUUUGUCCUUACAUUGAGGCUCUUGUACUUAUCAAAUUCUCAUCCGGGUAAUCCUUAACAUUUCUUUUGUUUGGAGUAUGUCAUUUUACUAUUUAUCAUUUAAAUGGACCAUACAUGAGAUGCAUGAAAAAUGACCAAAAUAGGUACGAAAGGAGAUGCGCCACAUUUAUUUAUUUCAAAAGUAACAAACAAAGAAAGUUGACCAAGAAUAGUUUAAAGCGUUAUGAAAAGAAAAGGGAUUAUAUUUAGUGGAUACAAAUGCUCUAGAUAUUCAACACAUGAACUCUUCCACGUUUCUUAAUCAAGAAUCUUUUUGAGCAUGGCUUCUUGCGUAGAAGAUUUUGAACUACUAAAAAUGCUUCAAAUACUGUAGUUCCACCAUUUGACUCACUUGUUCAAAUCAUCUUGCUCUUUGGGCCCAGGUCUGCUUCAUUAGGACGCCCUUUCAGGUUUUCAUUCUAAUUCUUUUGUUUAUCAAGACGCCCUUUCCGAGUUUUCAUCUUGAUUUCUUUUUUUUUUCAAGCAUAAUAUUUCUUCACGGUAUCUGAGUUCACUAGAUUCAGUAACUCAUUCCCAUCCACCUCAGUAAGAAUCAAAGCUCCACCCGAGAAGGCCUUCUUUACGACGUAUGGUCCUUCCCAAUUUGGUGCCUAUUUUCCUCGCAAGUCUUUUUGUAUUGGAAGAAUCUUUCUCAGCACGAGUUCUCCUUCGUGGAAUUCUCUUGGCCGUAUUUUCUUGUCAUGGGCCGCGAUCAUUCUCUUCUGGUACAUCUGUCCAUGACAGAUUGCCUUCAAACGUUUUUCCUCGAUAAGGUUUAACUGGUCAUAUCGAGCUCGAACCCACUCUGCUUCCUAUAGUCGACUCUAUUAAGACUCAUAGAGAAGGGAUCUCAACUUCGAUGGGUAACACAGCUUCCAUUCCAUAGACUAGGGAGAAAAGAGUUGCUCCCGUAGAUGUCCGCACAGAUGUGCGAUAUGCAUACAAAGCGAACGGUAGCUUCUCGUGCCAGUCUUUAUAUGUCUCGAUGUUUUCCCAAUAAUCUUCUUAAUAUUCUUGUUGGCCGCUUCAACAACUCCGUUCAUUUUCGGGCAAUAGGGUGAUGAGUUAUGAUGCUUUAUUUGAAAUUGCUCACACACUUCCUUCAUCAUCUUGUUGUUCAAAUUCAAGGCAUUAUCUGAAAUGAUUCUUUCAGACAAACCAUAUCGACAAAUGAUUUCUUUUUUCAAAAACCUGUAAACUGCAGUCUUCGUCACAUUGGCAAACGAAGCGGCUUCUAUCCAUUUUGUGAAGUAAUCAAUAACCACAAAAAUGAACCGGUGUCCAUUAAAAGCUUUUGGGGAAAUUGACCCUAUAACAUCCAUGCCCUACAUAGAAAAAGGUUAUGGAGAAGUCAUGACAUGAAGGGGCGAAGGGGCUACAUGAAUCUUAUCGCCAUAAAUUUGACAUUUGUGGCAUUUUCUUGCAUAACUAAUGUAGUCACUUUCCAUCGUCAGCCAGUAAUAACCGAGUCUCAUAAUCUUUCUGGCCAUAGUGAAACCAUUGGCAUGUGUCCCACAAAUUCCCUCAUGGACAUCUUCAAGUAUUUUGUUGGCUUCAACAGCGUCCACACAUCUCAAGAGCACUUGAUCUUUUCCUCUUUUGUAUAGAAUGUCCCCAUCAAGAACAAAUCCUACUGCCAUUCUUCUGAUUGUUCUUUUAUCGUUCUCAUUUGCUUGUUCGGGAUAUUUUUGGUUGUUGACAUAUUCUAAGAUAUCAUGGAACCAUGGCCGUCCAUCUGGCUUUUUUUUCAAUACUAAAAUAAUGUGCAGGGACUUCAUAUAUGCUCAUUUGAAGAGGCAUUAUUUCUGUUUCUCUGUUCGCUUUAAACAUUGAAGCCAAAGUGGCCAGGGCAUUAGCCAAUUGGUUUUCUUCUCGUGGGAAGUAAUUAAAAGUUAUUUCUUUGAAUUCUUUAAUCAGUCCUACCACUAGAUCGCUGUAUUUAACUAGUUUCAAAUCUCUCACUUCCCAAUCUCCACGGAUUUGGUAUAUCACCAACGCUGAGUCCCUGUACACCUCUAAAAUUUCGAUGUUUCGUUCAAUAGCUGCACGAAGUCCCAUGAUACAGGCCUCAUAUUCCGCUAUGUUAUUGGUACAGAAGAAAUUUAGCCUGCCAGUGAAUGGAUAAUGGUUCCCUUCUGGUGAUACUAAGACUGCUCCAAUCCCAUGCCCCAAUGUAUUCGAUGCACCAUCAAAGCUCAUCUUCCAUGACUUCUCUUUGGAUGACUCACAUUCUUUUCCCAUAAUGCACAUCAAGUCUUCAUCUGGAAAAUCAAAUCUCAAUGGCUCGUAUUCUUUCGUUGUUCGAGUUGUUAAGAAAUCAGCGAUUGCACCCUCUUUUAUCGAUUUUUGGCUCACAUAGACGAUGUCGUAUUCUGAUAGUAGGAUCUACCAUCGUGCUAUUCUUCCUGAGAGCGCAGGUGAUUCCAUCAUGUACUUUAUUGGGUCCAACUUUGAAAUUAACCAUGUCGUAUGAUACAACAUAUAUUGCCUCUGAAAUGCCCAAACCAAAGCACAACAAAAUUUUACAAUUGACGAGUACUUUGCCUCAUACUCUGUGAACUUUUUGCUGAGAUAGUAAAUCACCUUUUCUCUUUUCCCUGACUCAUCAUGUUGCCCCAAUACGCAACCCAUUGAAUUUUUGAACACAGUCAGAUACAAUAUUAACGGUCUUCUUGGAGUUGGCAGUACUAGCACCGGAGGACUAGACAAGUACUAUUUUAUCUUGUCAAAAGCCACUUGGCACUCUUCGUUCCAUUCUCCCGAAUUAUGCUUUCGAAGGAGUCGAAAAAUUGGGUCACACUGGUUAGUAAGUUGAGCAAUGAACUGAGCGAUGUAGUUCAAUCUCCCUAAAAAUCCUCUGACUUCUUUUUGCAUGCGAGGAGGUGGUAGUCCUUGUAUGGAUUUUAUCUUAUCUAGACCAACUUCAAUGCCUCUCUCGUUGACGAUGAAGCCUAGCAAUUUUCCCGAGGUAGCCCUAAACGUGCAUUUGGCUAGAUUGAGCUUCAGCUGGAACUUUCUCAGUCUUUCGAACAACUUUCUGAGGUUCCCAAAAUGCUCUCUUUCCCCCUUGGAUUUGGCGAUCAUAUCAUCGACGUAGACUUCUAUUUCUUUGUACAUCACUAUGGCCCUCUGAUAUGUUGCCCCAGCGUUCUUUAAUCCAAACGGCAUCACCUUAUAACAGAAUGUUCCCCACAUCAUUACGAAAGUAGUUUUCUCCAUAUCCUCAGGAGCCAUCUUUAUCUGAUUAUAACCCGAGAAUCCAUCCAUGAAUGAAAACAAUGAAUGUUUAGCUGUGUUAUCCACCAAUGUAUCAAUGUGUGGUAAGGGAAAAUUAUCUUUAGGACUUGCUCGAUUCAGAUCACGAUAAUCUACACACAUUCGUACCUUGCCAUCUUUCUUCGGUACUGGGACUAUGUUAGCUACCCAUUGUGGAUACUAGGAAACUUGUAGGAAGCCAGCAUCGAAUUGUUUCUUGACUUCUUCUUUUAUCUUUAAUAACAUUUCAAGUCUCAUUCGUCUUAGCUUCUGUUGAAUGGGUUUGCAUUCUGGUUUCAGUGGGAGUCUAUGGACUACUACAUCCUCAUCCAAUCUUGGCAUGUCCUGAUACGACCAUACAAAUACAUCUUUGUACUCAUGAAGUAAAGCGAUCAAAUCAUGUUUGGUGUUAUCUGAAAUGGAAGCCCCAAUCUUCACUUCUUGCCUCUUUUCUUCAUUUCCUAAGUUUACUAUCUUAACAGAUUCUUAAUGAGGUAGAAUCUGUUUAUCUUCUUGUUCUACCAUUCUUAGUAAGUCUAGAGACGAGACAUAGUCUUCAAUAUUUUCCUCAACUUCAAAAUCUCCUAAACAAAUAGCUUUCUCGAAAUCGAUUUCAAGAUUUGUAACGGGUUUGUUCAUAUUGUUGAUAUCUGAGCACCUGAAAGUUGAAUGGAAAAGAAAACUAUAGAGGAGCAUGAAAGUAUUGGGACCAACAAGUAUAAUGGAAUGAUGAGAGAUAUAUGCAAUGACAGGCUGUGAGAAGAGGGAAAAAGUAUGAAGUUAAUGAGAAUGAAAAGACCAUGACAAAAUGCAUCUCCAUUAAUGUUCAUUUAAAUGAUAAACAGCAAAUCAUAAGCUCUUAUAGAAGUAUCCCUACUUUUACUUAGGGACACACAAAAAAAGAGUGUUAAAAUUGAGCAUUACUCUGGAGAAGACUUAGAAACUACAAGGAGAUCCACACAGUCCAAUUGUUCAAAACGAAUCCAGGAGGACAAGGGCGUAUCAUUGAAACAUCUUUAAUUGCAUCAUCUCCUUUGCCAAUGACAUUUAUACUGACAUUCUGAAGAUCCCUUUCAAUUAAUAACAGCGUGCUUCGUGAAUUAUCUUGCCCGGGGUAUAUCAUUCCUGUAGAUGUAAAUGUUUUUGACAAAGGAGGGUACGUUAUGGACUCCCAUUCCAAUUCUUGGCCUAAGGCUCUUGCAAUCCACCUUUCUCGAUCUUUCUACAACUGUUUUCUUCUUUGUCGCAUAUCCGGCUGAAACCCUAAACCAUAUCGAGCCUUUUAGGGCACUAGUUUUAGAGCUCUAAUUAUCCCUUGCUGAUAUCUCCCCAACCCUUUCUUUACUCGGGCUCCUUUUCCCACAGUCAGCUUAAUUCCCAUCUGGGUAUUCCUUGACAGCUGGCGCACGGGAAUUUUAUUUCCUUCAGCAACGAACGUAGCAUUGAUGAAUUUGAAGGAAUAGAAGGAACAUUCUACUACAUCCUUGCUUACUUCGAGGUAUGGCGUACCAGUAGAGAUAGAUGUGACAAUGUCUUCCUCACCCACGACAGUGACCAAAAGACCAUCCAUGAUAAACUUCACUUUUUGAUGGAGAGAUGAAGGAUUGCUCCAGCAGAGUGUAUCCAGGGCCUUGCUAAAACGCAAUUAUACGAAGGUGUGAUGUCCAUGACCUGAAACUCAAUGUCAUAUAUAUAGGGGCCCACUUCUAGAGGAAUUUCAAUUUUUCCCAUGACUUCUCGUCUUGUCCCAUCGAAUGCUCUUACUGUAGAGUGACAAGGCCUCAGAUAAGAUAAAUCAAUUGGAAUUCUAGAAAGCAUAGCCAAAGGCAUGACAUUGAGUGCUGACCCGUUAUCAAUGAGCACAUUCGGUAUUAUACAACCCUUGCAACGGGUUGUGAUAUGUAAUACUUUUACAGAGCCCCUACCAUUUGGCGAUAUUUCGUCAUCACUGAAAGAAAUAAAAUUAUCCGCGUUCAGGUUAUUCACCCACCUAUCAAGUUUUUCGACAGAUAUAUUGCUUGCCACAUAAGCUUGAUUUAACACUUUCAGCAAAGUAUUCCGAUGUGGUUCUGAGUUCAACAGUAGGGAUAAUACCGAGAUUCGUACUGGUUGUUUGCUUAACUAUUCCACGACGUUAUAUUCAUUAUGCUUGAUGAACUUCAAGAAUUCAUGUGCUUCCUCUUCAUUUACAGGCCUUUUAACUUCUUGUUCGGACGGAGUCUCAAGUUCGACCUUGGCUUCAUGUAUCGAUGCCUUUCCUUUCUGCUUCAAGUCAUUAGUAUUCUUUAUUGGUUCGACCACUUUAGAAUAACAUCUCCAGCUGCGGGUGAAGUGUUCUACUUCACCAACAUAUCCGGCCGUGACUUUGGAUUUUUCACCUUCAGGUAUGAUAAUGUUGACAUCAUAUUUCCAUGGUACUGCCUUGUUGUCUUUGUAAGGGAAAGGAGAUUGCACUUCAAUUAUCAUCUUUGGUUUCACUUGCUCCUUUUUUGCAUCAUAAUAAAUCACCAAUGGUCGAUCAGCAUUAUAAGGGAAACCUGAUGAUUGACUAUCAGAAGUGCAUACUUCUCAUUCAUCAGCCUCUUUCAUUUUGUUGAAGAUCUAGACUUCCUUGUUGUCUCUUGAAGUAGUUUUCUGAAUCCUUCACAAGGCUAGAUGUCAUGCCUCUCGACCCCAUGAAAAUCACAAAAACAUUUUCUUUUUGUAUUUCCUUCCUUGAAAAUUCUGUUGGGGUGACAGAACAACUCCUUUUCAAACAUUACCCCCCAAAUCUUUCGCAACGGCAUCUUUAUUUCAAAAACACAACUUUUGGCACGCCACCUGUCUUCUUUUGUCACCGCGCUCACAUUCCCUUCAGUAUGGUUAGGGAGCAGAUUUCCAGCCGUAUUGCUAGCACCAUCAAAUCAUAAAAUGCCUGCAUCGAUAAGACCUUGAACCUUCCUUUUAAAGGCCAAAUAAUUUUCUGUAGAAUGUCCCUAGUUUUCAGCGUGGUGCAUGCAACUAGCAUUAGGAUCGUACCAUUUUGGGUAUGGAGGCUUCAGGGGUGCCAUAUAAUGUGGGGAUAUUAAUUGUUUUUCUAAUAUUUUUGGGUACAGCUCUCCGUAUGACACAGGAAUCGGGGUGAAAUGGGGUUUUUCAAGAUUGGAUCUUGUCGAUCUUUGUUCAUUUUUGGGUUGAAUUUAAGCAGGCAUGGUAUUUGGUGGGAACAUGGAAAAUGGUCUUUGGUUAUCUGUGGCGUAGACGGGGUAAGGAGAAGGUAUUUUUCGUUCCAUCAUAUUUUGAAAAACAUGACAAGAUACGCCUUUAGACAUUUCGUUCCAUCAUAUUUUUCAAAAUUUGGCACUUUAAAUUUCGAAGGCAGAACCAGAUCGGGCACCAAACUGAGCUCUUUGGCACUCAAUACAGAGAAGGCUUCAGUACCUUCUAUCGCUUCGAGUCUUUCUUCCAAACUUCUAUACUUAUCGUGAACAUCAUGAUCAUCCAUCUUCAACCUGGCUAUUUCUACCGGAUCAUCCAAAUCUGGAACAUUGGAAUCGGCAGGAUUAGCUCUGGGGUUCGAUACGAAUAUUCCUUGCCCUAGAUGAGUAGGGGGUACGGGUCGUUGCUCCAAGCUUGCAGGUUCUCCUUGAGGACAUUCUCUUUGCAUUACAUGUGCAUGAGGUGGAGUGAAUCCUGGGGGAUAGAGCGGAUCCUGAUCAUGAUUAGUUUUUGACUGAGGCUCCAUAGUGUCAGGGCUCUGCAUAGGUCCUUUUCCUUUGACCAAAGCUGUCAUCAUCUCCAUCAUUUUGGCCAUUUGAUCCCUUUGCUCGAGCGAUUCCUCUCAAGAUCUUAACAUCAGAUCUCUUGCUUCCUGUUGUGACUUGGUAAACUGCUCUUGCAAUUCUCUUUGAGUCCUUUCCAUCCUUUCAAUUCUCUCAUUGAACUCGGCUUCCAUAAUUCUAGCUUUUCUGCGUGUCCCAUAAGAAUGGCGUGAUUCCAAACUUAGAGUGUCGCAGCUGCGGAUUAUAUGGUUUCAGCCUCAGUGUAUGAUUAUGAUGAUAUGUACAUGUAAUGAAUAGAUGGAUGGAUGAAUGACAAAUGAAUGUUAGUCAUGAAUGUGUAAGAAUUUAGUGUUGAUUCCAAGAUGGCCCCUACUUAGGCAUUUCAUUAAUCAAAAGAUUCUAUUACAAAACAUUUCACUAUCUUUGAUACAACAGUUACAUAAAUUUUCUAGCCACAUCGCCUUGUUUCUUCACUCGUUCUAAGAAUUCUGAUAUGCUUGAUCUUUGAAUCGGAGGGAAUUGGCAACUGAGAGCUUCGGCUUCAUCUGAUAAUUGCACAACUUGCAAAGCCACCUCGCGAAUUUCAUUGAUCAAAAAGCCGAGUUGCAUUUCCUUUUCUUAGAGAGCUCUUUCGUAAGCGUGAGUGUCUCGGUCGUACUGACUAUUCUUUUCUUCUAGGGCCUUUAGGAAAUUAUCCAACUGUUGCUGAUGAGUUUGUAGUGUAUUUUCUAAAUCUCGUACUUUCCCUCUUAGCUCUUGAUAUUUAGACUGACUAGUCACAAAUUCUGCAGAUACAGUUUCAUACUCAGUAUUCUUCUUCCUUAACUCUAUCAUAGCAAGCGUAGCUUUUUCCUCUUCUUUCUUUACUUUCCCUUCUAGAAUUCUAUCCCACCUUUGAUGUUACUAAUUUCUUCCUUCCAUUCUGCUAACAACUUGCCCAACCCAUUAUUUUUUAUAGUGCUUCUUAAUUUCUUAUUUUCCAAAUGAAGGUCCCUUAAAUCAUUUCUCACCAUCUCAACUUCUCUUUGGAUUUUCACGGUUUGGGACUUUUCAAUUUGAACAUUGAUCUUUAGCUGGUAGUUUUCCUCUUGAAGAGAACUAAUAUCUCAUAACAGCUUAGCCUUUUCAUGUUCGAAUUCAUGUCUCACUACUUCCAGCUCGGAUGGCAUUUCUUCUGAGAAAGGAUUCUGGGAAGUGUAACUCGUCGGUGAGAUUUGUUGACUAUUCACUCGUCGUUUUCUCUAUAAGUCAUAAUCCUGAGUGAUAGUAUCAGCAUAAAGGGAUAACUCCAUUAAGUGAACUUCCUUCCAAGACUUUGCAGUAUCUCGGACUCUUUUCAUGUAGCCUUCACCUGUAAAGGCGAACUUUGAUUGUGCCAAUCCUCCGGUAGUGGGUAUGAACUGUCGUGAAGCAAAUUGUCUUUGAACCAUUAACGGAGCGUAUCUAACUCCUCCCCAUAAUCCUAGUAAAGGCACCCAAUCUUGGCUUCCACAUUUAUAUAUCAGAACUGAAAGACAGAUCCAUGGUGCUCUCCAGGUUAUAUCUUCGGUACGAAGGUUCCGAAAAAUUGAAACCCAAUGCUGUUCGGUGACAUCCUUUGGCCAAUCUUUCUCAAGGUAAGCUUUCAAUAGGGCGAAUGUUUUUGAAAACAUGUGGAAAGGUGUGCGCUCCAUUUUCCAGAAAUGGCUUAGAAUCCAGACGUUAAGUAACUGUACACAUCCAAUAAAACGUCCUUCUCAUUUUCUCCUACAACAACUUAGAGAUCUAAAAGUCUCGGCCAAGAUAGUCGCGACGGGGUUGAUCCCUUACUUUAAUCUUUCGAAGAAAUCCACUACCGCAACUUCUAUAUACCUGAGAACUUUUGGGAAGACAAUUAAUCCAUAAAUGGCCAAAGCAAACAGAUCCAUCCUCUUCACAAUAUCUAGAUGGUUUUGAACUAAAUCUCGCAUAGAAAACCACGGAACACAACUAACUUCGUUCUUUUUCUUUAUUUGUUUUUAGCCCACAUAUCAGUCAUUCCCGUCAACCUCACUAACUUUUUCUUGAAGGUCAUUGGUUUGGGCUCUUUCACAUAUAUCUUGUUGAAUUGUACAUUGUCAAUGGGAAGCAAGGCAGCAUACUCUUCUAUGGUCGGAGUCAUAUCUUCCUGAUUGAAAGUAAAGCACUGGUAAACUGGGUCCCAGAAUCGAACCAUGGCUUGAAUCAACUGUUCGUCUACGUUGAUGGCAAUCAAGUAAGCUAUAUCCCUGUAUUUUUCAGUGAAGAUGCCCCUAGUAUAUGAGUCCCGCUGUUUCCAAAUCUGAGUCAAAUCUUUGAGGUUAUUCUGACAAGCAUUCAAAGUUACAUGCUCGGGAAGAUUGAAGAUACAUCCUUCCGUUAGACUGUCCCCUUUUACUUUCUGAAUUUUCAAAGACCAGUCUCGAACCACGACAUUUUUCUCAGUUACUUGUGUAAUGGACUCCUCCAUCAGAAACCCAUUUUUGGCAACCAAUCUCUAAUCAACACGUUCCUAAUCAAGAUGCCUAUGAUGCAUGAUGAAACAUGAAAAUGAAAAUAAACAACCUUUGUUAGUAAUCACAAUAAAUAUGAACAGAAAAGAAUCUAACAAAUUAAGUUACCUGGUCCAAUAGACCCGAUUCCUUUGCAAAAGUAUAAAUGUAAAAGAAAUGAAAGGUAAGAGGCGUUUCUCUCGUGUACUUAAUUUGGUGACUAUUAACGGACGGAGGUUCAGUAUGGCUCUAGUUAGGUGGCUCGUAUAGUUUACUAUAUGCGGUUUCGGUUCUAGACAGGUACUCGAAUUAUUCGCACUAUCGUCUACUAAGACUAGUACAAAGCCUCGGUCAUAACGCAUCACAGGCUCACGAGUUCAAUUCGAGGGAUUACAUUUACUUAUGCCUAUGCGGAGGGACAAGUUAACUCACGAAAGCAUAAGUCGUAUGUAACCAGGAAGUAUUCACUAGCCUAUGCGGAGGGACGAGCUAACUCACGAAGGCAUAACGUUUACUUCCACUUAAGCGGACGGAGCUCGGGUAGAGAGCUCAUGUUAUGCAAAAAUGCAAGUGCUCGGUGUGUGGAGAGAAACUCACAAACCUUUACGUUUUAUUUAAAAAAUAAACUACAAAAAACUAAAACCAUAAAAACUUAGAGCUGAAAAUCAACAAGAUAAAACAAGUUAGAAGAAUAUUUACAACAUGAUGCAAAUGCAUGGUUUUCAAAAACAAAAUUUUCAAGAUCAUGACUAAAAUACUAAUUUGAACAAUGAAUUUGAAAAUUUUGACAACACGCGUUUAAUUCUAGAUUCAAAUCUCAAAAAAAGGGUCCCUAAUGGAGUCGCCAGCUGUAGCGACGUAAAAAUUUCGCUUUGGUAGCUAGUUGAGGCGAUUAUUGGAAAUUUGAAAACCGACUUUCGAUUUUAUUAAAAAAAGAGAGUCGCCACCGACCUUUUUUUCUAGGUGUGGUCGGACACCUAAAUAAUUAUCUUUUUUAGCAAAAAAAAUUAUUCUUGAACAGAAAUGAAGGCCGAAUUUGGGUUUUCGUCAAAAUCCAGAGAAAAAGUAGGGUUCGGGAGUCGGUUAUGCACGAGAAAGGUAUUAGCACCCUUGCGAUGUCCAAAAUUGGUAUCUUGCUAAGCAUGUGUUGUCUUAAUUUUCAAAAAUGCGAGUUCAAUGUAACAUUUAAUCAUGAUCCGAUCAAAACAUGAGAAUUUUUACAAUCUCGAUUUCUUUUGAGAAGGACGUUCCGUUUUUAACACAAGCCGAUUGAUAUUCACCCAACAUAGCGAUGAAAUUGACGACUUAAUGUUAAAUCGGUGCGUUACUUUAUUUAUUGAAAUAAAAAAAUGAAUGAAAAUAUUUUAAAAUAAAAAAUAAAAAGAAAACUAAUAUCGAUGUUGAAAUAAGAUGUGAUCUAAUAGGCUAAAUUCGGAACAGACAAAUAAUAAUAGAAGUUAAGAAUAUACGAAGCAAAUAUGUAAAACAUUAACAAUGUAUAUGUGAUAAUAAUAAAACAAUAGUAGUGCAUAUGGUAUUAAACAUGAUAAUAAUAGUAAUAAUGUAAACAUGAAAUAGUAGUGAACAUAUAUAUAUAAAACAUAUAAUACUAGAUUAAAAAUAUAUACAAUAUAUAUUGAAAACAAUAAUAAUAUAAUAACUAAUAAUAACGAUAUAUAAAUAUAUACAUAUAUGUAUUAAAAUAUAUACGUAAUAAUAAGAAUAAAAAGUGUAUACAUAGUAUUAAAAAUAUAUACAUAAUAUAGCGUUAAAAAUACAUACAUAAUAUAGUUAUUAAAAAAUAUAUACAUAAGAUAAUAUGCAAGAAAAAAGUAUAUAAAUAAUAUAGUAUUAAAGAUAUAUACAUAAUAUAUAUAAAAAAUCAUAUAUACAUGAUAUAUAUAUUAGCAACAAUAAUGAUACAAAAAGAAACAACUAUAAUACAAUAAAUACGUACAUAUAUAUAUAUAAAUAAUAACGGUAUUAGAAAUAUACAAUAUAUAGUAUUAGAAAUAUAUACAUAAAAUAGUAUAAAAAUAUAUAUAACUAAUGAUAUUAAAAUAUAUACAUAAUAAUAUAUAAAAAUAUAAUAUUAAAAAAAUAUAUGUACAUAACAUAUAAAAAAUAUAUACAUAAUAUAGUAUUAAAAUAUUUACAUAAUAUAUACAUAUUAUGUAAUAUCCCGAAUUAGGGCAUAAUCGGAAUAGUGGUUUCGUGACCACAAAUCCGAGACAAAAAUAAUUAUUUUAUAAUUAUUUUGAGGUUUAUGAUAUGAUUGCAUGAUUAUGUGAAAAUUUCGUGAUGAAAUUCUAUGCAUAAAGUGCUUAAGUUGAGAUUAGGGACUAAAUCAAAUAAUUUGCAAAAUUUGCAUUCUAGAAGUUUUUAGUAUGAAAUUGCUUUGGAAUAUUAAUGAGGAGGUCUUAAAUAGCAAUUUGACCAAUUUCUAAGUUUAUGGACAAAAAUUGGACAUGGAUGGAAUUUUUGGAAAGUUUAGUAGUAAGGGCAUUUUGGUAAUUUGUAUAUUAAAUGAAAUAAAAUGGGAAAAAUAACACAAAAAUGAUCAUCUUCUCCAUAAGUUGCUGCUGAAUUUUUGUUUCCACCAUAGCUAGGGUUUCAACACUUUUAAGCCUUGAUUGUAAGUGAUUUCUAUGCCCGUUUUUAAUGUUCUUUACAUUUUUUGAAUCCUGGUAGCUCGAUUUAGCUUAUGCUAGCAAUAAUUCAACCUAGGGUUCGUAUUUGAAAAAAUACCCAUAGGUGAAAUUUGUGUAUUUUGGUGUUUUAUGAUAGAAUUUGAGGUUUUAAAUUAUGUUAGACAACUUGUGCCACUCGAUUUUAAGUGAAAACGAGUAAAAUGGCUUAAUCGGUAAAAAUACCUAAUAGUCAUAAGUACAUGUAUACCUAAUAGUCAUAAGUACAUGUUAGAGUGUGAAUUUGAUGUUUCUAUAGAAGGGAAAAAUGAUCAGCAUGUUAUAAAACAUAAGAAAAUAGGAUGAAGUUUAACUUACGAGCAUUGGGGCAAAAGUGCAAAUAUGUGAAAGCUUAGGGGCAAAAUGGUAAUUUUACCAAAGUUCGUAUUAAGGUCUGUUUUGAUGAAUGUACGUAUUAAAUAAAAUUAAUUUGGUAUUAUAGAUCAAGAAAAACGAGAUUCAAGUCGUGAUCGAGGGAAAAACAAAGUUUACGAGGAAUAGGCUCGAUUGCUAAUAUUUCGUAUCGAGGUAAGUUCAUGUGUAAAUGUGGUAACAUGAUUGUCAAUUUAAGUAAUAUAAUGUUAUUUAUAUGAUAUGAUGAUUAUUAUCAUUAAUGUUAUUUAUAUGAUAUGAAGAUUAUUAUUAUGAAAUCUUAUGCUUUGUGGUUAUUAUUGAGUAAUAUGCAAAUUAUGGGUACUACGUGUUAAAUAUGAAUUGCUACCGAGUAUCGGUUUUGAUAUUCUAUGGAAGACGGCAAAGUGAUUGAGGAAAAAGCCUGUUUGAACCUUGGGAAUAGAUUAGAAUACAAGUGACAUGUCAUUAGGAUAUUUUGAGUUCUGAACUGGUUGAGUUGAGUCCGAGUUCGUGAGAUGUAACUAGGCAUCCGAGCUCGUUGAGUUGAGUCCGAGUUCACUUAUGGGCGGGUUACAUGGUAGCUUGGCUACAUAAGUUCCGCAGGCUAUUGAGUUUGUCUAGCUGCGGGUAUGGCACUUACGUUCAUGAAAUCCGUGUAUUUGAAUUAUAUUCCGAUGUGUUCAAUGGGUGAAUCUUAAGUGAAUAAGAAGAAUGCCUAAAAUGAAGGUGACAUAUUGGUAAGUGUAGUCAAUGAGAAAAUUUGACAGGUAUAUGCUUAAAUCCUCG
RNAcentral lists this long non-coding RNA (32575 nucleotides) under Gossypium barbadense (sea-island cotton). Its description in RNAcentral is "long non-coding RNA (GBAR_LNC002298)". The record is from RNAcentral. Lineage: Eukaryota; Viridiplantae; Streptophyta; Magnoliopsida; Malvales; Malvaceae.